UACGGAGGGGGCUAGCGUUAUUCGGAAUUACUGGGCGUAAAGCGCACGUAGGCGGACUGGAAAGUCAGGGGUGAAAUCCCGGGGCUCAACCCCGGAACUGCCUUUGAAACUCCCAGUCUUGAGGUCGAGAGAGGUGAGUGGAAUUCCGAGUGUAGAGGUGAAAUUCGUAGAUAUUCGGAGGAACACCAGUGGCGAAGGCGGCUCACUGGCUCGAUACUGACGCUGAGGUGCGAAAGAGUGGGGAGCAAACAGGAUUAGAUACCCUGGUAGUCCCUGAG
Molecule: ribosomal RNA, 278 nt
Filed under: uncultured prokaryote
Description: partial 16S ribosomal RNA
Rfam family: Bacterial small subunit ribosomal RNA
Source: RNAcentral